GACGAACGCUGGCGGCGUGCCUAAUACAUGCAAGUAGAACGCUAAAGAGAGGAGCUUGCUCUUCUUGGAUGAGUUGCGAACGGGUGAGUAACGCGUAGGUAACCUGCCUUGUAGCGGGGGAUAACUAUUGGAAACGAUAGCUAAUACCGCAUAACAAUGGAUGACACAUGUCAUUUAUUUGAAAGGGGCAAUUGCUCCACUACAAGAUGGACCUGCGUUGUAUUAGCUAGUAGGUGAGGUAAUGGCUCACCUAGGCGACGAUACAUAGCCGACCUGAGAGGGUGAUCGGCCACACUGGGACUGAGACACGGCCCAGACUCCUACGGGAGGCAGCAGUAGGGAAUCUUCGGCAAUGGGGGCAACCCUGACCGAGCAACGCCGCGUGAGUGAAGAAGGUUUUCGGAUCGUAAAGCUCUGUUGUAAGUCAAGAACGGGUGUGAGAGUGGAAAGUUCACACUGUGACGGUAGCUUACCAGAAAGGGACAGCUAACUACGUG
Molecule: ribosomal RNA, 497 nt
Filed under: uncultured bacterium
Lineage: Bacteria
Description: partial 16S ribosomal RNA
Rfam family: Bacterial small subunit ribosomal RNA
Source: RNAcentral